GCUCCCAUUCCCGGCCCGGCCCCGCAGCCCGGGAUCCGCCCGCCUUCCCUCGGGCUGGGCGGAGAGCAGGAUAAUGGCACGGAGGAAUUACAUUUCUGCCGCUCUUGGCUGAGGACUAUUCAUAUACUGAAUUUCUCUUGAGUCUGUGACCUGGAAGAAGGGAAGUUGAUAACUGCUACCAGGCAUCUCCAGACCUCUUAAAGUAAUCCAAAAAGUGAAAUGCAAUAGAGCAAUAAGUGAGCACUCAGAUGUAGUUCAGCUCAUGGGGCUGAGGCGGUGCCAUCCCACCAGCUGCUCUGUGCCAAGUUCCUCCUGCUGCGAGCCCACCCGCACAGCUUGCUGCCAGCUGUGGCUCUUUCUUCCCCACAGCUGCUGCAAAAUCUAACCCAAGUGUGUCUGAGGCCUCUGCAAGCAGCUUGACCUCUGGUCUGAAGCCUUAAAUAAAGCUGGAAUACUUCCUUUUAAGAGGAGAAAGGGAACAGAGAAGGUAAUAGAAUUCAAUGGAGUUUUUAAGAAAUUAUGAAAAUGCAGUAAAAAGUAACUUUUGCAGUAAAAAUGCAGAAAAUGCAGUAAAAAGUAUUCUUCCAAAGUAAGAGGCUGUUAAGUGGCAUUGGUAAGAUGGCACUUAUGGAUAACUCUGUGUCUAGUUAUCCAUCAGACUUGCACAAGGUCCAGAAUAAAGAAUCUGACAGAACUAUACUUUAAUGGCUGACAUUUACACAGCUCAUUUCUAUUUGGCAUCUGCAGAAUGCUUAUGGAGAUAAUGGCUAUUUAAUAUUACUUUUGACAGUAGUCAAAAAUAACAUAAAGACAGGCAGAGAACCAGAGGCAGAGAAAAGAUUUCUGUAUUUUUGGGUCGUGUUUUAAAGAACACAAAAUUGCAGAAAUAUCUUCAUGUUUUCUCUUAGGAGUGGUCCUGGGCUAAUGCCAAAUCCAGGCUGAGGAGGCGUUUCAGAAAGUGAUGGUUGGCCCAGACCAAAGGCAUGCUGAUGACCAGGGCACACAUCAGUGGCCUCAGCACACUUAUACUGCUGGUUAAUUCAUUAAUAUAGACACAGUCUUCGUGCCAGUCCCCUUCUCUCAUCAAAACAACAUAAGGGAAAGACCUGAUGCUGGGUUUACCAUAAUACGAUUAAAGAAAGCUCCUCUCAGAGACAGUGCAACAGAAAAAGCUUCUGUAUGAGCUUCUACUUGCUUGAAAUUACUACCUUGAUUUGCAGCUCUUUUCUAAUAUUAGGAAAUUUUUAGGUGUCCUGAGGCAACAAUUUCUGCCAGGUACACAGUCAGAGAGGCAGCCCUGCUUCAGCUUCUCUUAGGGCUUCAUUUUGCUCCUCUAUGAGGGGUACCAAUUUGCAGAAACUUUCUGAGACCCAUGAUGGGAGAAAUGUCCUUACCUCCUCCAUAGAUUUCAUGGUCUCCAAAGAUUCCUUCCAUACCUCCACCACCUUCCCCUCCCACAUUUGCAUCUCUGUCACAGAAAAAUCUUGUUAAUUUACUUACAGACAUACAGGCUGCACAAAUGAACACCAGCACAAGACAUAUAAUGGAAAAAUAUUAUCCUCCACCACAGAAAGGUCCAGGACCAAUUUCACACUGGGACACUCAAGAAGCUGUCACAAAGGAUGUUGUUUUUUAAACUUUUCAAUAAAUUAAUUUAGAAUCUUUCAAGUCUUCCAGGUCAUCCAGAAUCAUCCAGGUCUUCAAAUUCAAAACUUUUGGUCCCAGAAAUUAGAAUUCUACAAAAAUAUUUUUCCUGUUUUUAAAACUAACACCAUGUGAGAUCAAGAACUAAACCAAUAAAUGCAUUUUUUUAAUAAAU
Taeniopygia guttata (zebra finch) is the source of this 1819-nucleotide non-coding RNA. Lineage: Eukaryota; Metazoa; Chordata; Aves; Passeriformes; Estrildidae. The record is from RefSeq and is a predicted model, not a curated record.